Molecule: long non-coding RNA, 1317 nt
Organism: Cavia porcellus (domestic guinea pig)
Lineage: Eukaryota; Metazoa; Chordata; Mammalia; Rodentia; Caviidae
Exons: 3
Source: RefSeq, a predicted model, not a curated record
AAAAAAAGAAAGGAAGAAGGAAGGAAGAGAAAAUUGUAUUAGAUAUAGGCAAAGCUAUAAUAAAGAACCAAAUGGCUACUAGACCAGGAAACAUAAACAUAAUUUCAAGUAUCCACUUGUUUUAAACAGGCUCUCACUACAUAUCCCAGACUGGCCUUGAACUCUUGGUGAUCCUCCUGCCUCAGCCUCCUGAGUUCUGGGGUUAUAGGCAUGGGCCACCAUUUCCGGUCAAGUGUCCACUGUCAACACACUGAAAGAAAAAAUGUGUUUAUCAGAUUGCAGCUGAGCUAAUAAAUUAAUCAUGGAAGUGAGUAAGCAAAUUCCCUAACCCAUUGUUAUGGAUUAAGAACUGGUGGUCAACUUAACGCCAGCUGGAUUACAUCAGCAUGGAACUGAGCCAAGAUGCUCCACCUGAGGAAAGUUGCCAACAUAAAUAGGUGGAGAAGAAGGUUGUUAAGGCAUUGAGACCUUAAUGUGUUGUUGCACUGAGGCAUUGUGGGUUCUCCUGGAGAAGCUCUGGUCCUCACGCUGAGCAUUGCUUCCUGGCUCCGGAGGGGAAGACAUGUGCUACUUGGUCACCAGGAUGAACUCGUCACACUGGCUUCCUGGCAUGUACCCGACUGUGCUUGUCAUCAGAGGAGCUCGGGGCCUCCGUGUCACUGACGAUGGCUGUGGUGCCUUUCAGGAUAGCCCUGGUCUUAUGAGUGUGAUUUCUCGGCUCCAGCUUAGAACCCUCAACCUACCAGCAGCUCCUUCACCCUGCUGGCAUGGACUUUCUGACUUCCACUGCUGACUUUUGGGCCUUCCCAGCAUGGAUCUGUAAAAGAGACUGGUGUAGGCAACUGGCCUCUCCCAGGGACUGGCUGAGCAAGCCUGCAGAAGCCAGAACAGCCCCAAAGGGUGACAGGAUCACAGUGGCACUGACAGCUGAAAAAUCUCGAACUGGCUUUACAGAUCAACUGCCAAAAGACCUCUGAGUAACCUUGAAUCAGUGUUUUUGCAGACCGGAGAAAAGAGCAACUUAAUCCUGUAAAUCCAAAACUUUGUAAUGUGCAAGAAAUGCUUUAUGCACAUCAACUCAAACUGAAAACCAAAACUAUGUUUACCAGUUAAUUAAAUUUGUAAUUUGAUUUCUUCUGCAAAGCUUUCUUAGGCUUGACAGAACUUGGGCUGUUUACCCCCGGGUGGAGUUGCCCUAGCUUUCAGAUGCCUGGCUGCUGAUGUUACCAAGGGCUGGCCCAAGCAGGAGGAGAGCUUGGGCUCUGUCUUGUUCCCUUGCUCUCCUUGAAAUAAAAGGACCAUUCCUGUUUGGGCUGA